This is a long non-coding RNA of Felis catus (domestic cat), 3771 nucleotides long. RefSeq lists it as uncharacterized. The transcript is spliced from 3 exons. The record is from RefSeq and is a predicted model, not a curated record. NCBI's taxonomy places the organism in Eukaryota, Metazoa, Chordata, Mammalia, Carnivora, Felidae.
ACGUGGGGCUCAAACUCAUGAGCUGUGAGAUCAUGACCUGAGCCAAAGUCGGAUGCUCAACCAACUGAGCCACCCAGGCAUACUGAUGUUUCCACUGAGCUAGGCCACAGUACCCAGAUAUUUGGUGUAACAGCAGCCCAAUUGUUGCUGAGAAGGUAAUCUUUUAGCUUAGGUUAACAUUACGUCAGUAGACUUUGAGUAAAGCAAUUACCCUUCACAAUGUGGGGGGAGCCUUGUCCAAUCAGUUGAAGACCAUAGGAGAAGAAGAAUGAGGAUCCCUCAAAGAAGAGAGAAUUCUGCCUCCACGCUGCCUCUGGACUCAAGCUACAACAUUAAUUCUUCCCCAGGUCUUCAGCCUGCCAACCUACCUUGCAGAUUUCAUACUUACUGCUCCCUACAAUUGUGAGUCAAUUUCUUAAAUUAAGUCACUCUAAUACACCCAUACUCCCCUGCACACCCACUCUCUAUCAGUCUAUUCUCUGGAGAACCCUAAAACACUAGCCAAACACCCCCCAAAAGAGUCUCAUCCAUGUAUACCUCUGACAACAAAUGUCCAGUGAAAACCCAGACUUCCACCUUCACUAGACUGAAAUCAAGGGCCUCUCCUCCUGGCCUGGAUGGUAUUGGAGAAGAAUGAAGAAUGGUCAAGACUUACAGACCUACUGGGCAGUAACAAGUCUCCUUUCUCCGCUAUCCACCCUGUGGCAUCCAGUGUCAACCACACAGGGAGCCUGGACUUCCCUUCUACCCAUCAGUAAUGAGGCACCUCUCCUCCCACAUGCUAAGGUGGUAUCAGAGAAGGCCUUGUGGAGUCAGAACUUUCACCACUGUCCCAUGGUAACACCACCCAUGGUGUCAAUGGAGGCCACAUGUAGGCAGUAACAAGGUACCCCUGCGCUCAGUCAAGGUGCUGUCAGUAGAGGCCUAGUAGUGACCCUGAACUCCUGCUGCCACACAACAGUAACAUCCACCCUUGCACACCCCCAAUUAUCAAUGGAGACCAAGAAGGGAACCUGGAUUUCCAACUCCAUCUGGCAGUAACAAGGCAACCCCCCUUUCUUCCAUUAGUGUUGGGUCAGAGGUCAGCUAAAAUGGAAGACUUCAAGAAGAGCCAGAAUUUCAUAAUACCCAAAAUGUCCCGGUAUCAAUCAAAACUCACUCAUCACAGUAACAACCAGGAUGAUCUCAACUCGCGUGACAAAUGACACCAGAUGCUGACACACAGAGAAUAAAGAUAUUAGCAUUAUCUAACAAAGAUUUUGAAGCAUCCAUGUUAAAAAUGCUUCCAUGAGCAAUUACAAACAUGUUUGAAACAAAACAGAAAGUCCCAGAAAAGAAAUAGAAAUAAAGAAGAACCAAAUGGAAAUUUUAGAAAUGAAAAGGACAAGAAAUGAAAAAAAAAAAGUUCAGUAGAUAUGCUCAAAAGCAGAAUGGAGAAAUCAGAGCAAGGAACCAAUGAACUGGAAAAGAUAAUAAGGAAAUUAUACAAUCUGAGUAACAGAAAGAAAAAAGGGCAGAAAAAUAGAGUUCCAAGGACCUGUGGAGCUAUGACAAAAGCUGGAACCUUCAUGUCACCGAGUUCCAGAAGGAGAGGAUAAAGAGGACAGGGCUGAGAGAACACUAGAAACAAUAAUGGCUGAAAGCUCCCCAAAUCUGGAAAGAUGCUCACACUCAUGGAAUCAAGAAGGUGAAUGAAUCCCAAACAGGAUAAACUCAAAGAACCAGAGAAAAGUGACACCUUGAGUCUAGGGGAAAAAUAAGUAGGAUGACAGAUUUCUCAUCAGAAACCAGGGAGGCCAGAAAAAGGGGUACCAGAUUGUUUGAGUAGUUAAAGAACAAAACUGUCAACCCACAAUGUUAUAUCCAGAGGAAAAACAUACCAGAAAAUGGCACAAAUUCUUAAAAUAGUAAUUAUAAAAGAAGGAACUGUGGAAAAUUAGGAAGGAAAAAAGAACAAAAGAAUAAGGAUAUGGAAUAAAACAAUUGAUUUUUCUUCUCAAGUUUUCUAAAUUAUUGUUUAAAGGUUGAAGCAAAAAUUUUAACAUGUUUUGAUGAGGUUCUCAACAUACACAGAAGAAAUAUUUAAGACAGUUAUAAACAGGGGUGGCUAAAGGGACAUAAAGAGACGUAGGAUUUCUAACACUUCACCUAAACAGGUACAGCCAGUCAAGAAAAUCGUUUGGCGGUUUCUUAACAACUGAAACCUCUAUCUACCAUGUGAUCCCAGCAAUCACAUUACUGGGCAUUUAUCCCAGAGAAAUGAAAACGUAUAUCCACACAAAAACCUGUGCACAAAGAUUCACAAAAGCUUUGUUUGUUAGAGCCAAACAAACAAAAUGACUUAUACCAGGUGAGUGGAUAAACCAAUUGCACUACGUCUAUAUCAUGAAACACAACUCAGAAAUGAGGAAUCGAUACACACAACUUGGAUGGAUCUCAAGGGCAUCAUAUGCAAAGAAAAAAAAAAAGGCAGUCUCAAAGGUUACACGCUACAGAAUUGCAUUUACGUAAAAUUCUCAAAAUAGCGAAAUCAUAGAGAUGGAAGACAAAGUAACCGUUGCCAGGGGUCAGGGAUAGAGAAGGUAGCACGCAACUCUUAUGGAAUGGUACAAGAAGACUUUUGCGCCAGUAGAAUAGUUCUGUCCCUUGAUCCCAGUGGUGGAACAUGAAUCUAUAUACAGGCGAUAAAGUGGCACAGAAUCAUACUAAUUCCAUGGUCUGUGAGUAUACUCCACUUACAACGUGAGAAACUCGAUAAGGAGUAUAUGUACCCUUCUCUGUAGGUUCUUUGUAACUUCCUGGGAAUCUAAGUAUUUCACAAUAAGAAGUUUUUUAAAUGAAAACAAAAAAAGCAGUAAGGAGCCUCAAUAUUUGGCAGGACGGUACAGGUGACUGGAACUGGUUAACUUGGGUCACUAACAGAAGGGCCUAUCUUUCUCCAAACAAACUCAGACAAUAUGAACUAAAAAGCAAAAACAUAUAAAAUCUUCGUGAAAACCCUUCACCAUGAGAGGAGAAAUGGAAAGGAUGGAACGCAGUGAGGAGACCUGAAGGAGAACAGAGACAACAGUAAUCAGAAGAAGGGUGAAAGGUGAGCAGCCUGGAUUUGGAGGCCCACUUGCCCUACCACGUAAGAAAUGUCAGAAAGAACUUUGCAGAAAACUCUCCAACACAGGAAGGCGGGCUUGACUCAAGAAGUCCUUCUGCUACCACCAGAUGGACUUGCUCCUGUGAUUCCCCAUCUUUCCACUAUAGUACGUAACACAAUUGACUAUAAUUAUCUACUCGUGUGACUGUAGCCGUAUGGGACAGCAAGUUAUGAGGACACAAAUGCUCAAAGGCAGCUUAGUCCAUGUUUCUUUAACUCAAGUCCAUUUAACUAAUUGUUUAAGUAUUAUAGGCUUAUUUGCUCUUACAUCCAAAAAACAGCACUAAGACAUGAAUGUAGAAACUAUCAGCAUGAUGCAUUUGUAACUUUCAGAGAAGAAACCUAUGCCUACAAUAGGUAAUGAAGCACUUGGAGCAGUCAAGUCUAACAAAAUAGUCAAAAUGAUGCCCAAUAGGGCCCAACAUGUAUGUAGAGUGAAACAGCUGAAGCUUCCAUGACAAAACAUAUCCUGUCUUACUCUGAUAACUGUACAGCAUCUAUUAAAAAGUCAAUCUUUGAUGGGGCACCUGGGUGACUCAGUCAGUUAAGCAUCCAACUUCUGCUAGGGUCACGAUCUCACGGUUCGUGGGUUCAGGCCCCACAUUGGGCUCUGUGCUAACAGC